This 293-nucleotide ribosomal RNA is filed under the name uncultured bacterium. RNAcentral describes it as "partial 16S ribosomal RNA". It matches the Rfam family "Bacterial small subunit ribosomal RNA", at positions 775 to 1067 of the family's 1533-position model. The record is from RNAcentral.
GGAUUAGAUACCCUGGUAGUCCACGCCGUAAACGAUGAGUACUAGUUGUUGGUAGGAUUGACCCUUUCAGUUACGUAGCUAACGCAUUAAGUACUCCGCCUGGGAAUUACGGUCGCAAGACUAAAACUCAAAGGAAUUGACGGGGGCCCGCACAAGCGGUGGAUUAUGUGGUUUAAUUCGAAGCAACGCGCAAAACCUUACCUGGGCUUGAAAUCCGACGAAUCUGCUAGAGAUAGCGGAGUGCCUUCGGGAAUGUCGUGACAGGUGCUGCAUGGCUGUCGUCAGCCGUGUCG